CAUACCUAUUCCAAGGGAUAGGGUCGGUUUGGCCGGAUUUCACACAGGUGUUGCAUGGCUGUCGUCAGCUCGUGUCGUGAGAUGUUGGGUUAAGUCCCGCAACGAGCGCAACCCUCAUCCUUAGUUACCAUCAGGUUAUGCUGGGGACUUUAAGGAAACUGCCAGUGAUAAACUGGAGGAAGGUGGGGAUGAUGUCAAGUCAUCAUGGCCCUUAUGGAGUGGGCUACACACGUGCUGCAAUGGUGAUUACAAUGGGCUGCAAGGUCGCAAGGCUGAGCUAAUCCUAAAAAAUCAUCUCACUUCGGAUUGUUCUCUGCAACUCGAGAGCAUGAAGUUGGAAUCUCUAGUAAUCGUGUAUCAGCAUGCCACGGAGAAUACCUUCUCGGGUCUUGUACACAAUGCCCGUCACGCCAUGGGAAUUGGUUUCACUCCAAACU
RNAcentral lists this ribosomal RNA (437 nucleotides) under Wolbachia endosymbiont of Aphis craccivora. RNAcentral's name for it is "bacterial SSU rRNA". It matches the Rfam family "Bacterial small subunit ribosomal RNA", at positions 992 to 1428 of the family's 1533-position model. Lineage: Bacteria; Pseudomonadati; Pseudomonadota; Alphaproteobacteria; Rickettsiales; Anaplasmataceae. The record is from RNAcentral.